Non-coding RNA from Syngnathus typhle (broad-nosed pipefish), 73 nucleotides. NCBI's taxonomy places the organism in Eukaryota, Metazoa, Chordata, Actinopteri, Syngnathiformes, Syngnathidae. The record is from the annotation of a RefSeq genome assembly.
GCCUUGUUAGCGCAGGUGGUAGCGCGUCAGUCUCAUAAUCUGAAGGUCGUGAGUUCGACCCUCACACAGGGCA